This 678-nucleotide long non-coding RNA is filed under the name Oryctolagus cuniculus (rabbit). Its description in RNAcentral is "lncRNA (ENSOCUG00000032520.1)". The record is from RNAcentral. Lineage: Eukaryota; Metazoa; Chordata; Mammalia; Lagomorpha; Leporidae.
UCUGUGUGUCCGUGUCCUUGUCCCCGAGGUCCCCUCUCUUACCGUGUCCUCAUCCCCUGAGGUCCCCUGUGUGACCGUGUCCUCGUCCCCGAGGUCCCCUGUGUGACCGUGUCCUCGUCCCCGAGGUCCCCUCUGUGUGACUGUGUCCUCAUCCCUAAGGUCCCCUGUGUGACCGUGUCCUCGUCCCCGAGGUCCCCUCUGUGACCGUGUCCUCAUCCCCGAGGUCCCCUGUGUGACCGUGUCCUCAUCCCCGAGGUCCCCUCUGUGUGACUGUGUCCUCGUCCCCUGAGGUCCCCUCUCUUACCGUGUCCUCAUCCCCUGAGGUCCCCUGUGUGACCAUGUCCUCGUCCCCGAGGUCCCCUGUGUGACCAUGUCCUCGUCCCCGAGGUCCCCUGUGUGACCGUGUCCUCAUCCCCGAGGUCCCCUCUGUGUGACCAUGUCCUCUUCCCUGAGGUCCCCUCUGUGUCCGUGUCCUCAUCCCCGAGGUCCCCUCUGUGUGACCGUGUCCUCUUCCCUGAGGUCCCCUCUGUGUCCGUGUCCUUGUCCCCGAGGUCCCCUCUGUGUCCGUGUCCUUGUCCCCGAGGUCCCCUCUGUGUGACCGUGUCCUCUUCCCCGAGGUCCCCUCUGUGUGACCGUGUCCUCUUCCCUGAGGUCCCCUCUGUGUGACCGUGUCCUCUU